Chelonia mydas (Green sea turtle) is the source of this 588-nucleotide long non-coding RNA. RefSeq lists it as uncharacterized. Lineage: Eukaryota; Metazoa; Chordata; Testudines; Cheloniidae. The transcript has 3 exons. The record is from RefSeq and is a predicted model, not a curated record.
AUUUUAGCUUGUACUGACUUAGUGCUUUUUAUGUGGCCUGUCGUAACACGAGGCAAAUCUCUCGAUGAGUUGAUGUGCCCCGUGGAAGACCUCUGCUUACCCCCAGGGGUACACGAACCGGUGGGUGAGAACCACUGUUCUAAGGCAGCUCCAGCCCUGGUGCCGUGGGGGAGACGUGUCCUCGCGGCCCUGCCUGACAGGUCUUUCUGUUUCAGAUCCUUGUCCUAACUGCAGGAAAUGUAACUACAAGACAUGUACAAUUGUGCUCGCAGUCGCCCUCGCAACCAUGUUCUUAGUUCUCAUCAUUGUCCUGGCAGUGUGGAGACCUAAGCUUCCGUCAGCUGAACCGGGGCCCGUUGCUGGAUCGGAUACCAAGGGAAAUGCUACUAUUUCUCUGAGGCCGAAAGGAACUGGACCUACAGCCUGACCUACUGCUCUGCGCUCAGCGCCUCCCUGGCUGAGAUCAACAGUGAGCAGGAAAUGGCUUUUGUGCUGUGCUAUAAAGGCAGAUUUGACCACUGGAUUGGCCUCCGGAGGGACCCUGGGCAGCUCUGGAAAUGGGCCAAUGGCACCAAAUUCAACAACCUG